UUAGAUGAUGCCUAGUGAUUAUUUGAGUUUCUUGUGGUUUUAUAAUAAACAGAUAUCAACAUUUUAUGAGGCAUGAUACCCUCAUUAUCAUGUGUGGGCACCUUGUUGGGGUGAUACAUACUACUUUGCAUUAGCCAACAUGUACAAUAUGCCAGUUCCUUAAUUUUUUUUUUCCAUGAAUUAAUAGAGUUUAGGCUUCUUUAAUGGUUAAACGUGAUGCUCUUGGUUUCACAGUAACAUCAAAUAAUCUUUUUGGGUUCUAAACUUCUACAGGGUUGGUUAUUUUAAUAUGGCCCGUUCUGGAAACCACCUCAGAUGAAGGUAGUGUUUUUGUUGACCUGCUAGUUUAGAUUUUAUUAAUACUUAUCUCUGUCAUUAUCUUUUUAUUUACUUGAAAUUCUGUGUUCAUGUCCAUUUUAUACCAAAUAUGUUUGAUACCUAUGUUAAUCCUUAUAAUAAAGUUUUCCUUGAUUUGCAAUUAUGUUGCAAAUGUUCUUGUAUAUGGAGGUUGGCAAAAUCAUGGGAUCAAUUUAGAAAUAUCAUGUGUGCUUAUUUAAUAUACUAUGACAACGAAUAAAAUGGCAUAUGAUUUGAGAAUUUGUUUUAUGAUGAUCAUUUGUAUAAAUUUUAGUAGGCCAUCUUUUGAACUGAUUUAUAGGUUUAUAACUAGGAUGAGAUUGUAAAUAAGAUGUUCUCGAGAAGUGAGAGAUCGGCAUUGAAGAAUGCUUAUCAAGUAUCUCUGGAUUGAUUUAAUUGAAGGCAAACAAGAAAAGAAGCAUAUGGUCCUAUCAACUGCAAAACUGCAUCACACAAUGUAAUAUUGAAUAACUUUUUGGGAUUGAAUUUGUC
RNAcentral lists this long non-coding RNA (849 nucleotides) under Musa acuminata (dwarf banana). RNAcentral's name for it is "long non-coding RNA (MACU_LNC009202)". The record is from RNAcentral. Lineage: Eukaryota; Viridiplantae; Streptophyta; Magnoliopsida; Zingiberales; Musaceae.